Molecule: long non-coding RNA, 959 nt
Organism: Ruditapes philippinarum (Manila clam)
Lineage: Eukaryota; Metazoa; Mollusca; Bivalvia; Venerida; Veneridae
Exons: 3
Source: RefSeq, a predicted model, not a curated record
AUCAGUAUUUCUCUGGGUUUUUGUAUUUAAGUUCAUAUAACACAUAGAAAAACACAUUCUAUUGAUAAACGGAAGUUUUCGGCUUCUCUGGUUGAAGACAGGAACAAAAGUUUAUUUGAUUCCACAAUUUUGUUGUUGUUGUUGUUGUUGACGGCUGUAACAGCAUAGUUAUGUAUCUAAAACAUCGUAGACGCUUAUUUCAUAUAAUUUUACAUCGAAGAAGGUGUUUAUGGUUAUAUCUGCAUGGUUUUACAUCGAAGAAGGUGUUUAUGGUUUUAUGUACAUAGUUUGACAUCGUAGAGGCUGACUGUAAUAUUUCUAGUCAGGCGGUGUUUUACUGUACCGGCGAAUUCGCUCGCACCUCUCUGUCUUGGCUGGACGACAAGUGAUCGUUAGACCAAUAUUUUGCAUUUUCGUCCGUUGUCAGAUCGGUUAAUAGAUAUUAUAUACAAUAAACAUAAUUUUGUUUCAGAUAUAUGAACAACAAUACAACUGUCAUAAAAUGCAUAGGAUAAGAAUUCCAAUGAAAGAUGUUCUUAAGUGUACUUCGUUGUGUCCCGCUGUCCAAAAUCGUCGCUUCGACAUCGCUAUUCUUAGGCGCCAAAUCAAACGUUGUCGUAUAACGGAGAAAGAACUCACAAAUGUUACAUACUUUUAAUAUACAAAUACAAACACACAAGUGAACGAGUGGAAUACCAAAGCCGAACUCUUCCCUGCACAUUUGAGAAUAGUAUAUAUAAAGACAACCUGUCAUAAGGACAUUUUAUAAUGUAUAUAUAUACACACGUUUUAGAGUAACAUAUAUUAAUCAUUUUGACAUAAGAUCAGUCCGCAUGUAUCCUGCACUAUAAUAUUCAUAAAUCAAAGUCAUGUUCCAUAGUGCACAUUAUGAAAUAAAAACCUUAAUAUAUGUAUAUACAUGUUGACUUGUCAUUCUAUUUGAAUAUAGCGUGUAUGAC